Non-coding RNA from Salmo salar (Atlantic salmon), 76 nucleotides. The record is from Rfam. Lineage: Eukaryota; Metazoa; Chordata; Actinopteri; Salmoniformes; Salmonidae.
GCUCAGUUGGUAGAGCAUGGUGUUUGCAACGCCAGCAUGGUGUGUGCAACGCCAGGGUUGUGGGUUCGAUUCCCAC